Salvelinus namaycush (lake trout) is the source of this 1340-nucleotide long non-coding RNA. RefSeq lists it as uncharacterized. The record is from RefSeq and is a predicted model, not a curated record. Lineage: Eukaryota; Metazoa; Chordata; Actinopteri; Salmoniformes; Salmonidae. The transcript is spliced from 3 exons.
UUGAAUGUCGCGGUUACGCACAUUUGUCCGGAAUGGGGAUGACAUCUUCAUCCCUGAAACUGUUUUCAUCCUGGAGGAGACUGCAGGAGGCAGAGGAGAUAUGUGAAAGAAGGGUUAGUACAGCAUGCCAAACUGACCCCUGGGUGCCAGUGUUCCUGUGCUGCAGUAGAGGAGAGGUCCACCGGGACCAUCACUAAAGAGCUCAGUGCCCAGCUAGAUUGUGCUCACAACCAUCAGUAUACAUCUGAGGCCUGCCCCUAUACGCCACAGAUGGACCUGACGGAGAGUGAGAUCUGCGAAGACCAUAAAAGAUCACUUUGGGGGAGCGGGCUGGUGUUCCGAAAAUGGAGAAGGAGCAGGCCAUUCAACAGCAAAUUCAAAGAUACACCCAUCCAUAAAGGGAAUCGGAGUGGACUUGUUUUUACACCAAUAUUUCUUUUUAUACCCGUUUCAACCUUGUCCCGGUCCUGCUGUUUCGACUCUCUCUCUCAACCUAUGAAUGCUCAGCUAUGAAAAGCCAACUGACAUUUGCUCCUGAGGUGUUGAACUUUUGCACCCUCUAUAACCACUGUGGUUAUUAUUUUUUAUAUAAAAAGGGCUCUUGUAAAAUACAUUUGAUUGUUUGCUGUGCUGGAUCCUGUGUAUUCACUAACUGUCUGAGUGAUGGGACAUUUUUAUAGUAUCUGUAACAUAUUUCGGUGUGUAUUUAAUCUGCAUCUUAACUUCUUAAAAUGGCAAUCAGCAGCAGAAACAAUAACAAAGUGCCUCCCUGCUCUUUUGGUAAAAAUCUGAGGGAUGGAGAAAUGUAACCACUCUCAAAUUCAUAGACAGCGCUAAAGAUGCAAGGACUGACCAUCCAUGAUAUCAAAAUAGUAAUCAUGUUUCUAUGAUCUGUUUCCACUACCAUGUACACAGUUCGCUUUGGAUAAAUGCGUCUGCUAAAUGGCAUAUGUCAUUAAAGUCUACUUUGAUGAACAGCCAAAAAGCACAUCAAAUCUGAUAUUUUAAGCCACAUUCCAAGUCUGAUACAAAUCUGAUUCCCGGCCAUGUGACUUGCGUCUGAACGGUCAAAUGUGAUUUAUUUGUCCUCAAGAAGUGUUUUUUUUAGACUGUUAUUUGGCAUAUCUUGUUGCUCACUAGCUACUGUGUUCACAGUUUGACAAGAACAUGUGGUAGCUUAAUAGCUUGUUAAUUGUUUACAAAUAAAUUAGUCAAUGUGCUAGAAAGCUAAAUGGCUAGUUGAAUGCUGUGGCUAGCCAAACAUUAUUUGUUUGGAAAGUUGGAUCAUCUUAUCCUUUGCGGCUUUAAAAGUGUUUUUACAUUAUAAUUUUCUACAUUAA